AAAAACAUUGCUUUUUGAAAAUUAAUAAAAAGUAACUCCUGCCCAGUGACUCUAAGUUUAACGGCCGCGGUAUCCUAACCGUGCAAAGGUAGCAUAAUCACUUGCCCAUUAAUUGUGGGCUAGAAUGAACGGAUAAACGAAAUAUAAGCUGUCUCUGUAAGACACCUAAAAAUUAAUCUCUAAUUGAAGAGUAUUAGAUAAAGUUGAAGGACAAGAAGACCCUAUAGAGCUUUAUCCCAAUGAAAGAUAUUUUCACUAAGAUUCGGUUGGGGCGACCAGGGAAUACAUUAAUCACCCCGUUGUAGUAAGAUAAAUUAAUCUAGUUAAUGACCCUUAAACAAGAUCAUAAAAACAAGCUACCUUAGGGAUAACAGGCUAAUCCCACUAAAGAGUCCUUAUCCAUAGUGGGGUUUGGCACCUCGAUGUUGGCUUAGGGUAUCUAUGUGGCGCAAAAGUCAUAUAAAGAUGGUUUGUUCAACCAAUAACACCCUACAUGAUCU
Molecule: ribosomal RNA, 500 nt
Filed under: Dendrobaena hrabei
Lineage: Eukaryota; Metazoa; Annelida; Clitellata; Crassiclitellata; Lumbricidae
Description: partial 16S ribosomal RNA
Rfam family: Bacterial large subunit ribosomal RNA
Source: RNAcentral